CCGGGCCCGCGCCGCCGCCUCCGGGACGGACUCCGAGCACUUUACAUACAUGAGAGAAUUGGAAGCUAAAGCUACCAAAGAAGUCGAAAGAAAACUAAGCAGGGAUUUAGUGCAAGAAGAGGAAGAACAGUUGAUGGAAGAAAGGAAAAAGAGAAAAGAAGACAAGAAGAAGAAGGAAGCUGCUCAAAAAAAGGUAUGUGGAGCACUGAAAAAUAAAACCCUGUGCUCAGGGGUGACUUGUUUCACCCCACUAGUAAAAACUGAUUUAGCUGUUGUUACUCACAGGUGUUUUCUUGUUAAUGUAGUGUUUUAGAUUCAAAUGUGCUGUCAGUUAUAUAGUGGUAACUGUCAUACUGAACAAUGUAAUUGGCUCUGUGUAGUUUCUUACAAGACUAAAUUUUUCUUCUGAGAUGACCCUUGUUUUUAAUGAUUGUCACUAGAGGCGGUUUUAAGUUUGAAACCUCUCACUGUAAAUGCAUUUAUUAGUAGAAUAAAAGUACCAUUUGAAGGUAGUGGCUUUCA
Molecule: long non-coding RNA, 522 nt
Filed under: Lepidothrix coronata (blue-crowned manakin)
Lineage: Eukaryota; Metazoa; Chordata; Aves; Passeriformes; Pipridae
Description: lncRNA (ENSLCOG00000011209.1)
Source: RNAcentral